This 459-nucleotide ribosomal RNA is filed under the name uncultured bacterium. RNAcentral's name for it is "partial 16S ribosomal RNA". It matches the Rfam family "Bacterial small subunit ribosomal RNA", at positions 338 to 795 of the family's 1533-position model. The record is from RNAcentral.
CCUACGGGAGGCAGCAGUGAGGAAUAUUGGUCAAUGGCCGAGAGGCUGAACCAGCCAAGUCGCGUGAGGGAAGACGGCCCUACGGGUCGUAAACCUCUUUUGUCGGGGGGCACAGAGAGUCACGUGUGACUCAUUGAGAGUCCCCGAAGAAAAAGCAUCGGCUAACUCCGUGCCAGCAGCCGCGGUAAUACGGAGGAUGCGAGCGUUAUCCGGAUUUAUUGGGGUUAAAGGGUGCGCAGGCGGAGGUGCAAGUCAGCGGUAAAAUUGCGGGGCGCAACCCCGUACUUCCGUUGACACUGCAUACCCUGAGUGCGCGAGAAGUAUGCGGAAUGCGUGGUGUAGAGGUGAAAUGCAUAGAUAUCACGCAGAACUCCGAUUGCGAAGGCAGCAUACCGGCGCGCAACUGACGCUCAUGCACGAAAGCGUGGGUAUCGAACAGGAUUAGAUACCCCUGUAGUC